Non-coding RNA from Cinara cedri, 206 nucleotides. The record is from the annotation of a GenBank genome assembly. NCBI's taxonomy places the organism in Eukaryota, Metazoa, Arthropoda, Insecta, Hemiptera, Aphididae.
UGAGCAACGAUUAUUCGUAUCUUUACAACGCCAAAAACACGGUAAAAAAAACGUUGUGGCGCAGUUAUUGAAGCUGGAGGACAUCAUUUUGAACAUUUAUUAUAAUUUCCGUGAGAUGAUGUUACUUUGUAAUGUUCAUUUUUAUAUCAUUUUUUUUUUAUUUGAAGAAAUAAACGAUUUUUUUACUAUUACAAAUUGUGUUGCAA